This 65-nucleotide transfer RNA is filed under the name Tomosvaryella palliditarsis. RNAcentral's name for it is "tRNA-Asn". The record is from RNAcentral. Lineage: Eukaryota; Metazoa; Arthropoda; Insecta; Diptera; Pipunculidae.
UUAAUUGAAGCCAAAAAGAGGCUUGUCACUGUUAAUGACAUUAUUGAAACUAAUUUCCAAUUAAA